Molecule: long non-coding RNA, 673 nt
Filed under: Homo sapiens (human)
Lineage: Eukaryota; Metazoa; Chordata; Mammalia; Primates; Hominidae
Description: HSALNT0088810
Source: RNAcentral
UCAAAAUCCCAUUCUAGAAGGAAAAGAUCACAAUCAAAACACAGGAGUAGAUCCCAUAAUAGAUCACGUUCAAGACAGAAAGACAGACGUAGAUCUAAGAGCCCACAUAAAAAACGCUCUAAAUCAAGGGAGAGACGGAAGUCAAGGAGUCGUUCGCAUUCACGGGACAAGAGAAAAGACACUCGAGAAAAGAUCAAGGAAAAGGAAAGAGUGAAAGAGAAAGACAGGGAAAAGGAGAGAGAGAGGGAAAAGGAACGUGAAAAAGAAAAGGAACGGGGUAAAAACAAAGACCGGGACAAGGAACGGGAAAAGGACCGGGAAAAAGACAAGGAAAAGGACAGAGAGAGAGAACGGGAAAAAGAGCAUGAGAAGGAUCGAGACAAAGAGAAGGAAAAGGAACAGGACAAAGAAAAGGAACGAGAAAAAGACAGAUCCAAAGAGAUAGAUGAAAAAAGAAAGAAGGAUAAAAAAUCCAGAACACCACCCAGGAGUUACAAUGCAUCGCGAAGAUCUCGUAGUUCCAGCAGGGAAAGGCGUAGGAGGAGGAGCAGGAGUUCUUCCAGAUCGCCAAGAACAUCAAAAACCAUAAAAAGGAAAUCUUCUAGAUCUCCGUCCCCCAGGAGCAGAAAUAAGAAGGAUAAAAAGAGAGAAAAAGAAAGGGACCACAUCAGUG